AUUGUGCAGGCAAGGCCUGUGUGCCCGUGGAUGUCUCCCGUGUGUGUCCGUGUGGCAGGGCUGGGACAAGGACUCGUGCAGGGACCGAGCUGGCACUGGAGCUGCUGCCAUCCUGAGCCACUGCCAAGGGCUGGGGAGAGACCAUCUGGGAGGCUGUUGCCAGGGUUCCAUUGGGAGCUGGAUCUCCCUCCAGCUGCAGCAGCCAGGGGAGGGUUCUUCCUUGUGCAGCCCAGUGGCUUCUGCUCAGGCUGGCCCAGAGUGGGGCUGGGGCAGGUUCUCCAGGGAACUGGAGCCAGCCCUGAACGGGGCUCUGGAGAGCAGGAGCUGCAGGGACUGAGGUUUGCAAAGCUGGGCUGAAGUUUGUCAAAGCAGCAGAACAUUCUCAUUCCUGUGGGUCUGUGGAGUCCGUGUUGGUGCCCAGGAGAACUGGGUCAGACUGGGCUUUGUGCUCCGAGAGCUGCCCCCCUAAAUGUGGCAGGCUGUGUGUGCUGGCAAGGAAGUGCUGUCCCAGAGGCUGAUGGUUUCUGUCUCCAGGUGUGCCCAGGACACUGCCAAUGCCCAGGGAUCUGCUCUGGGUCCAGACUGUCCGUGCUGGAGGGCCCUGGUGGCUGCAGUCCCUGAGCCCGCAGAGACAGAGAGAGCCCCGGCCCGAGUGGCCUUUGGCCCCUUGUCCUGAAUUUGGGGUGAGCCUGGGAGCGUGUGGAGGAUGCUGGAAUUGCCUCUCUGGGUGUGUGCUGAGCUCUGGCUGCAGGGGACUGUCAGGCCUUGGUGGCUCUGUUCCCUGCUGUCCAUUCCCUGGCCUGAAUUCCUUGCAGCUCCCAGCUGGGGAAACCUGGGAUAACAUGGCAGGGACAGAGGUGACAUUUGUAGCUGCCAACUUGGGGUAAUUUCGAAGGGACCCAACAACUGUUUCUGAAG
Molecule: long non-coding RNA, 918 nt
Organism: Pipra filicauda (Wire-tailed manakin)
Lineage: Eukaryota; Metazoa; Chordata; Aves; Passeriformes; Pipridae
Exons: 3
Source: RefSeq, a predicted model, not a curated record